UACGUAGGCAGCGAGCGUUGUUCGGAGUUACUGGGCGUAAAGGGUGUGUAGGCGGUUAUUUAAGUUUGGUGUGAAAUCUCCCGGCUCAACCGGGAGGGUGCGCCGAAUACUGAAUGACUUGGAGUGCGGGAGAGGUGAGUGGAAUUCCUGGUGUAGCGGUGAAAUGCGUAGAUAUCAGGAGGAACACCGGUGGCGAAGGCGGGUCUCUGGGCCGAAAUUGACGCUGAGGAGCGAAAGCGUGGGGAGCAAACAGG
RNAcentral lists this ribosomal RNA (254 nucleotides) under uncultured bacterium. RNAcentral describes it as "partial 16S ribosomal RNA". It matches the Rfam family "Bacterial small subunit ribosomal RNA", at positions 524 to 776 of the family's 1533-position model. The record is from RNAcentral.